RNAcentral lists this ribosomal RNA (824 nucleotides) under uncultured bacterium. RNAcentral describes it as "bacterial SSU rRNA". It matches the Rfam family "Bacterial small subunit ribosomal RNA", at positions 64 to 890 of the family's 1533-position model. The record is from RNAcentral.
GCAUUAGAACUUGAUUUUUUCGGAAUGAAGGUUCAUAUGACUGAGUGGCGGACGGGUGAGUAACGCAUGGGCAACCUGCCUUACACAGGGAGACAACAGCUGGAAACGGCUGCUAAUACCGCAUAAGCGCACGGUCUCGCAUGAGACAGUGUGAAAAACUCCGGUGGUGUAAGAUGGGCCCGCGUCUGAUUAGCUGGUUGGUGGGGUAACGGCUUACCAAGGCGACGAUCAGUAGCCGACCUGAGAGGGUGACCGGCCACAUUGGGACUGAGACACGGCCCAAACUCCUACGGGAGGCAGCAGUGGGGGAUAUUGGACGAUGGGGGGAACCCUGAUCCAGCGACGCCGCGUGAGUGAAGAAGUAUUUCGGUAUGUAAAGCUCUGUCAGCAGGGAAGAAAGAAAUGACGGUACCUGACCAAGAAGCCCCGGCUAACUACGUGCCAGCAGCCGCGGUAAUACGUAUGGAGCAAGCGUUAUCCGGAUUUACUGGGUGUAAAGGGAGCGUAGGCGGUAAGGCAAGUCUGAUGUGAAAGGCCAGGGCUCAACCCUGGGACUGCAUUGGAAACUGUUUAACUGGAGUGUCGGAGAGGCAAGUGGAAUUCCUAGUGUAGCGGUGAAAUGCGUAGAUAUUAGGAGGAACACCAGUGGCGAAGGCGGCUUGCUGGACGAUGACUGACGCUGAGGCUCGAAAGCGUGGGGAGCAAACAGGAUUAGAUACCCUGGUAGUCCGCGCCGUANACGAUGAAUACUAGGUGUCGGGUGGCAAAGCCAUUCGGUGCCGCAGCAAACNCAGUAAGUAUUCCACCUGGGGAGUACGUUCGCA